Molecule: non-coding RNA, 729 nt
Organism: Musa acuminata subsp. malaccensis (wild Malaysian banana)
Lineage: Eukaryota; Viridiplantae; Streptophyta; Magnoliopsida; Zingiberales; Musaceae
Source: RefSeq, a predicted model, not a curated record
AAUGAUUAUGUGAAUCGAGGAUGAUAUCGUACUCGUAACAGCUCAGAUAUGCCCUUUUCUUCUGCAUUCCCUCUUUUCCCUCUUACCCUCAAAAGUUUACCCGAUUCGGCACUUCAAGUACUGCGGCUUAUGAUCACGAUCACGAUAUGGAGCGCACAUCUCCCCCGCCCCACAAACGCCACUUCAGCGCCGCCAAUAGCUUCUUCAACCUAUCUCGGUUUACGAUCACCAGUUGGAAAAGCUUGAUUUCGAAACAAGCACGCCGCAGUCGGGCUGGGGAAACGCUACCCCAAGCUAUGUGAGAAGGAAGGCACCGCUCUCGCCCCGCACACGACUCACUCUGGUUCUCGAGGUUGAAAGAAAGAAAGAGCAAGCGAUCCAAGUGCUUCGGCCUCGCUAAACAGGUUAGCGAAUAAAAACAAUUGAAGGACUUCGAGAAGCAAUUUUUAGAUCGAUGUAGCAGCCAACUAUUUCAGGAUCAAUUUUGUGCUUCGGAUGGGUCUGUCUAUAUUCUUUGGCGUCAUUUCUUUUAUGGUAUUUUGUUAUGCUGCAACAAUGUCGAAGCUUCUUCCAGAAUCAGGAAAUCAGAUAUUAUUAUCCAUUCAAAAUGACUGGUAAAUAUUACAUAUCUCGGUCCACUUGUGGUAAAAAUGAGUUUAAGCAAAUUGCAUAUUACUACUUCUGAAUGGAAUUAGCUUAGAUAAAGUUGUCCAUCAUGCUUGUCCAUAA